UAUGUGAUCGUCUCUCGCAUAUCAAUAAGCGGAGGAAAAGAAACUAACAAGGAUUCCCCUAGUAACGGCGAGUGAAGCGGGAAGAGCUCAAAUUUGAAAUCUUAAAGGGUUUCCCUUUACGAAUUGUAGUUUAAAGAAGUGUUUUCUGUUGAGGUUUUGGUAAAAGUUCUUUGGAAUAGGACAUCAUAGAGGGUGAGAAUCCCGUAUUUGACCUUUACUUUCAACUUUGUGAUACACUUUCAAAGAGUCGGAUUGUUUGGGAAUGCAGUCCAAAAUGGGUGGUAAAUUUCAUCUAAAGCUAAAUAUUGGCGAGAGACCGAUAGCGAACAAGUACCGUGAGGGAAAGAUGAAAGAACUUUGAAAAGAGAGUUAAACAGUACGUGAAAUUGUCAAAAGGGAAGCGUUUGACACCAGUGUUGUUUUUCUGAAAAUCAAUUAAAGAACUGUUUAUGCUAAGUUGUUUAGACUUUAUCAGCUAUCUGUUUAGUUUUGAGCUUUUCUUUAAUGCACUUUUCAGUUAACAAGUCAACAUCAAUUUCUUUUGCUGUAAAAAAGCUUGAGGAAGGUGGCUUGAGAUUCGUCUUAAGUGUUUAUAGCCUCUUGCCUAUGCAGUCGGAGAGAUUGAGGUCUGCAGCGUAGAUCCUUCGGGGCUAAAUGCAUUUGUGCUAAGUUAUAGCAUUUUAUAGACAACUUGUUGACUAUGAUUUGUCUUGUAGCUUACUCGCUUAUGUUAUUUUACCUACGCUUAGGAUGUUGACUGAUAUGUAGUCGUA
This 773-nucleotide ribosomal RNA is filed under the name uncultured Neocallimastigales. RNAcentral's name for it is "partial large subunit ribosomal RNA". It matches the Rfam family "Eukaryotic large subunit ribosomal RNA", at positions 24 to 644 of the family's 3401-position model. The record is from RNAcentral. Lineage: Eukaryota; Fungi; Neocallimastigomycota; Neocallimastigomycetes; Neocallimastigales.